RNAcentral lists this ribosomal RNA (497 nucleotides) under uncultured bacterium. RNAcentral's name for it is "partial 16S ribosomal RNA". It matches the Rfam family "Bacterial small subunit ribosomal RNA", at positions 28 to 507 of the family's 1533-position model. The record is from RNAcentral.
GAUGAACGCUGGCGGCGUGCCUAAUACAUGCAAGUCGAGCGAACAGACGAGGAGCUUGCUCCUCUGACGUUAGCGGCGGACGGGUGAGUAACACGUGGAUAACCUACCUAUAAGACUGGGAUAACUUCGGGAAACCGGAGCUAAUACCGGAUAAUAUAUUGAACCGCAUGGUUCAAUAGUGAAAGACGGUUUUGCUGUCACUUAUAGAUGGAUCCGCGCCGCAUUAGCUAGUUGGUAAGGUAACGGCUUCCCAAGGCGACGAUGCGUAGCCGACCUGAGAGGGUGAUCGGCCACACUGGAACUGAGACACGGUCCAGACUCCUACGGGAGGCAGCAGUAGGGAAUCUUCCGCAAUGGGCGAAAGCCUGACGGAGCAACGCCGCGUGAGUGAUGAAGGUCUUCGGAUCGUAAAACUCUGUUAUUAGGGAAGAACAAAUGUGUAAGUAACUAUGCACGUCUUGACGGUACCUAAUCAGAAAGCCACGGCUAACUACGUG